RNAcentral lists this ribosomal RNA (1390 nucleotides) under metagenome. RNAcentral's name for it is "bacterial SSU rRNA". It matches the Rfam family "Bacterial small subunit ribosomal RNA", at positions 134 to 1498 of the family's 1533-position model. The record is from RNAcentral.
GAAUUGGGGAUAACCCGCCGAAAGGCGGGCUAAUACCGAAUGACAUCUUGAAAACUUAUGUUUUCAAGAUCAAAGGUGGCCUCUACAUGUAAGCUAUUGUUUGGGGAUGAGCCCGCGUACCAUCAGCUUGUUGGUAGGGUAAUGGCCUACCAAGGCUACGAUGGUUAGCUGGUCUGAGAGGAUGAUCAGCCACACUGGAACUGACACACGGUCCAGACUCCUACGGGAGGCAGCAGUGAGGAAUUUUGCGCAAUGGGGGAAACCCUGACGCAGCAACGCCGCGUGAGUGAUGAAGGCUUUCGGGUCGUAAAGCUCUGUCAAGUGGGAAGAAAUCAUAUGGUGUUAAUACUGCCAUAUAUUGACGGUACCACUGAAGGAAGCACCGGCUAACUCCGUGCCAGCAGCCGCGGUAAUACGGGGGGUGCGAGCGUUAUUCGGAAUUACUGGGCGUAAAGAGCGCGUAGGCGGUCUUUUAAGUCAGGUGUGAAAGCCCGGGGCUCAACCCCGGAAGUGCACUUGAAACUAAGAGACUUGAGUAUGGGAGAGGGAAGUGGAAUUCCUGGUGUAGCGGUGAAAUGCGUAGAUAUCAGGAGGAACAUCGGUGGCGAAGGCGACUUCCUGGACCAAUACUGACGCUGAGGCGCGAAGGCGUGGGAGCAAACAGGAUUAGAUACCCUGGUAGUCCACGCAGUAAACGGUGAACACUAGGUGUAGCGGGUAUUGACCCCUGCUGUGCCGCAGCAAACGCAUUAAGUGUUCCGCCUGGGGAGUACGGCCGCAAGGUUAAAACUCAAAGGAAUUGACGGGGGCCCGCACAAGCGGUGGAGCAUGUGGUUUAAUUCGACGCAACGCGAAGAACCUUACCUAGGUUUGACAUCCCGGGAAUUCUGUGGAAACACGGAAGUGCCCUUCGGGGAGCCCGGUGACAGGUGCUGCAUGGCUGUCGUCAGCUCGUGUCGUGAGAUGUUGGGUUAAGUCCCGCAACGAGCGCAACCCCUUUCUUUAGUUACCAUCAUUUAGUUGGGGACUCUAAAGAUACUGCCCCGGUUAACGGGGAGGAAGGUGGGGAUGACGUCAAGUCCUCAUGGCCUUUAUGCCUAGGGCUACACACGUGCUACAAUGGACUGUACAAAGGGUUGCCAGCCUGUGAAGGUGAGCCAAUCCCAUAAAGCAGUUCGUAGUUCGGAUUGGAGUCUGCAACUCGACUCCAUGAAGCUGGAAUCGCUAGUAAUCGUGGAUCAGAACGCCACGGUGAAUACGUUCCCGGGCCUUGUACACACCGCCCGUCACACCAUGAGAGUUGGUUGUACCAGAAGUCGUUGGGCAAACCUUUCGAGGAUGCAGGCGCCUAAGGUAUGGCUGAUGAUUGGGGUGAAGUCGUAACAAGGUA